This 68-nucleotide transfer RNA is filed under the name Cyclopes didactylus (silky anteater). RNAcentral's name for it is "tRNA-His". It matches the Rfam family "tRNA". From Rfam's summary of the family: Transfer RNA (tRNA) molecules are approximately 80 nucleotides in length. The record is from RNAcentral. Lineage: Eukaryota; Metazoa; Chordata; Mammalia; Pilosa; Cyclopedidae.
GUAGAUAUAGUUUACCCAAAACACUAGAUUGUGAGUCCAGAAACAGAAUAUUCAAAAUUCUUAUCUAC